GCCUAAGACAUGCAAGUCGUACGAAGGGCCCAAUGAAAGAAUUGAAAUUCAGAGUGCUUGCACAAAGAAUGGAUUUUCUUGGAUUUGGAUUUUCCCCUUAGUGGCAAACGGGUGAGUAACACGUGGUUACCUACCUCUAAGAUGGGGAUAACAGUUGGAAACGACUGAUAAUACCGAAUGUGCUCUACGGAGUAAAGAAGCCUUUAAAGCUUCGCUUGGAGAUGGGCCUGCGGCGUAUUAGCUAGUUGGUGGGGUAAUGGCCUACCAAGGCAACGAUGCGUAGCCGAACUGAGAGGUUGAUCGGCCACACUGGGACUGAGACACGGCCCAGACUCCUACGGGAGACAGCAGUUAGGAAUAUUCGUCAAUGGAGGAAACUCUGAACGAGCAAUGCCGCGUGAACGAUGACGGCCCUAUGGGUUGUAAAGUUCUGUUGUUUGGAAAGAACGAUAGAUAGAGGAAAUGCUAUCUAUGUGACGGUACCAUUCAAGAAAGCCACGGCUAACUACGUG
Molecule: ribosomal RNA, 512 nt
Filed under: uncultured bacterium
Lineage: Bacteria
Description: bacterial SSU rRNA
Rfam family: Bacterial small subunit ribosomal RNA
Source: RNAcentral